RNAcentral lists this long non-coding RNA (270 nucleotides) under Homo sapiens (human). RNAcentral describes it as "non-protein coding lnc-FBXO28-3:1". Lineage: Eukaryota; Metazoa; Chordata; Mammalia; Primates; Hominidae. The record is from RNAcentral.
CACACAUGUUAAGGACCCUCAGCCCAGGGAGGUGGCUUUAAUCUUGGUUCUCCAGUGUCAGGAAGAGAUCCUUCAGUCAUGGGAGAACCUUUCUUGGCCGAGUUCGUAGUCAGAGGGAGAUGUGACUACAGAAGAAUGGUUGGACACGUGCAACACUGUGGGCUUUACAGAGGAAGGAAGGGGACAUGAGCCAAGGAACUCUGGCAGCCUCUAGAAGCUAAAAAAGGCAAGGAAACAGAUUCUCCCUUAAAGCUUCCAGAAAGGGACACA